UACGUAGGGGGCAAGCGUUGUCCGGAAUCAUUGGGCGUAAAGAGCGUGUAGGCCGGCUCGGUAAGUCCGCUCUGAAAGCCCGGGGCUCAACCCCGGGAGGCGGGCGGAUACUGUCGGGCUAGAGUCCGAAGAGGCGAGUGGAAUUCCUGGUGUAGCGGUGAAAUGCGCAGAUAGUCAGGAGGAACACCAAUGGCGAAGGCAGCUCGCUGGGACGGUACUGACGCUGAGGAGCGAAAGCGUGGGGAGCGAACAGG
This 254-nucleotide ribosomal RNA is filed under the name uncultured bacterium. Its description in RNAcentral is "partial 16S ribosomal RNA". It matches the Rfam family "Bacterial small subunit ribosomal RNA", at positions 524 to 776 of the family's 1533-position model. The record is from RNAcentral.